Molecule: ribosomal RNA, 425 nt
Filed under: uncultured Saprospiraceae bacterium
Lineage: Bacteria; Pseudomonadati; Bacteroidota; Saprospiria; Saprospirales; Saprospiraceae
Description: bacterial SSU rRNA
Rfam family: Bacterial small subunit ribosomal RNA
Source: RNAcentral
UAAGGAAUAUUGGACAAUGGGCGGAAGCCUGAUCCAGCCAUGCCGCGUGAAGGAUGAAGGCGCUCAGCGUUGUAAACUUCUUUUGGAUGGGGACAAUAACCUCGAUUUAUCGGGGCUUGAGGGUACCAUCAGAAUAAGCACCGGCUAACUCCGUGCCAGCAGCCGCGGUAAUACGGAGGGUGCAAGCGUUAUCCGGAAUCACUGGGUUUAAAGGGUGCGUAGGCGGUCAGAUAAGUCAGUCGUGAAAUUCUCCGGCUUAACCGGGUGGACUGCGAUUGAUACUGUUUGACUUGAAUGAGGUUGAGGUAGGCGGAAUGUGGCAUGUAGCGGUGAAAUGCUUAGAUAUGCCAUAGAACACCGAUUGCGAAGGCAGCUUGCUGGGCCUUCAUUGACGCUGAGGCACGAAAGCGUGGGGAGCAAACAGG